Molecule: ribosomal RNA, 446 nt
Filed under: uncultured bacterium
Lineage: Bacteria
Description: bacterial SSU rRNA
Rfam family: Bacterial small subunit ribosomal RNA
Source: RNAcentral
CCCCAGACUCCUACGGGAGGCAGCAGUGGGGAAUAUUGCACAAUGGGGGAAACCCUGAUGCAGCGACGCCGCGUGAGCGAUGAAGUAUUUCGGUAUGUAAAGCUCUAUCAGCAGGGAAGAAAGUGACGGUACCUGACUAAGAAGCCCCGGCUAACUACGUGCCAGCAGCCGCGGUAAUACGUAGGGGGCAAGCGUUAUCCGGAUUUACUGGGUGUAAAGGGAGCGUAGACGGCAUGGCAAGUCAGAUGUGAAAGCCCGGGGCUCAACCCCGGGACUGCAUUUGAAACUGUCAGGCUGGAGUGCAGGAGAGGUAAGUGGAAUUCCUAGUGUAGCGGUGAAAUGCGUAGAUAUUAGGAGGAACACCAGUGGCGAAGGCGGCUUACUGGACUGUAACUGACGUUGAGGCUCGAAAGCGUGGGGAGCAAACAGGAUUAGAUACCCGUGUA